GAUGAACGCUGGCGGCGUGCCUAAUACAUGCAAGUCGAACGAACUAAUUUAUUAGUGAGUGGCGAACGGGUGAGUAAUACAUAAGUAACCUGCCCUAGACAGGGGGAUAACUACUGGAAACGGUAGCUAAAACCGCAUAGGUAUGGGAAUCGCAUGAUUGCCAUAUUAAAAGUGCUAAGGCACUGGUAGAGGAUGGACUUAUGGCGCAUUAGCUAGUUGGUAGGGUAAAGGCUUACCAAGGCGACGAUGCGUAGCCGACCUGAGAGGGUGACCGGCCACAUUGGGACUGAGACACGGCCCAAACUCCUACGGGAGGCAGCAGUGGGGAAUAUUGCACAAUGGGCGCAAGCCUGAUGCAGCAACGCCGCGUGAGCGAAGAAGGCCUUUGGGUCGUAAAGCUCUGUCCUUGGGGAAGAAACAAAUGACGGUACCCUUGGAGGAAGCCCCGGCUAACUACGUGCCAGCCGCCGCUGUAACAC
RNAcentral lists this ribosomal RNA (479 nucleotides) under uncultured bacterium. RNAcentral describes it as "bacterial SSU rRNA". It matches the Rfam family "Bacterial small subunit ribosomal RNA", at positions 28 to 526 of the family's 1533-position model. The record is from RNAcentral.